Gossypium arboreum is the source of this 1784-nucleotide long non-coding RNA. RefSeq lists it as uncharacterized. The transcript is spliced from 3 exons. The record is from RefSeq and is a predicted model, not a curated record. Lineage: Eukaryota; Viridiplantae; Streptophyta; Magnoliopsida; Malvales; Malvaceae.
CUGCAAAAGCAAAACUGAAAUAAGAAACUGUGUCUAAUCAUUUUAAAGUUGAACUGAAAUGGCAAAAAGUAAAAUGAAAAGACAUAGCCUUUGUAACCAUCCUUCUCCCUUCUUCUCUUCUGUUAAAAAUAAAACUCCUGUAUCAGCUAAUCAAGAGACCCAUUUUCUCCCAGUAUCAACCCUUCAAGAACCACUGCCUCUUUUAGAAUCUCGAGUUCGUCGGGCAAACAAUCACCACACAGCUCGGACUCUACCUCUCUAUCUCCCCGCCAGAAGUGCCAUUUCUUCUCUCUUGAUUCACCAGGAUCUCCACCGUAUACGGUGCCUCCUCUAUCUAGAAUCGAGGAUGCUCGUAACGCCCUCCUUCUUUCGCCAUCGCAUGAGCAACUUUGUUGGCUUCCCUUGCUUGCGUAUUAUGGUUAGCGCAUCACCUUCUAUGCAGAUGCCCUAGAACCCCAUAUCUUCUGCCAUAACAAUAGAUUGUAGACACGCCCUUGCCUCAGCCAUCACUUGGUCUGAAAUGUAUUCCUAUGGGUAGGAACAAGCUGCCAUUAUUAAACCUUCCUUGUUUCGUGCUAUGAUUCCUGAGAUAGAACAUCUUGUUUUUUGAUUAAAGGAAGCGUCAAAAUUAAUUUUUAUGGUGACAUUGUCUGGUGGUUCCCAAGCUGAAUGUCUAACAUCACAUGUGCCCUAUAAUCUCUCCCCCAAAAUAGUUGUUUCCGCAUAGUAGGCCUUAAUAAAUCCCACAACUUCAUGUGCUUGCUCUCGCAUCCCCUCAUGAUAAAGUUUGUUACGAUUAUACCAUAUUGCCCAAUAUGCUAUAGAUCUGAUUUUACAUGCUUCUAUGCUCUGGUUUACAAAUUCUGCUGCUAACCAAUUUUUCCAACUGGACUCUCUAUUACAUGUUGAGACUGUUACUCCUACACCCCACAAAACUUGCUGCGUGAAAGUGCAUACUCUAAAGAGAUGGUCCACCGAUUCCUCCUCCAUUUGGCACACCGGGCAUAAUGUGUUGACAACCAAACUACGAACUCUUAGAUUAUGUAAAGUAGGUAGAUAGUCAUGAGCAAUUCUCCAUAUAAGAAUGCGUAUUUUACUUGGGAUCUUGAGUUCCCAAAGUCUUGUAAAGAAAAUAGUAAGUAUUUCAUUAUUUGUUCUUGUACCCCCUCUGUAAGAAGCCAUCUGUAGCCAUUUUUUGCUGUGUAUAUCCCGGUAUUGUCACCUCGCCACACUGGUACAUCCUAUAGACUGUUGCUCACCAAAAGAAUUGAGAGAAUGUUUUUCAGCUGAUCCUCUCCAAAUAACGUGCGUAUAAUUUCUUGCUUCCAGGUCCAGAAAGCCACCUAUCAUUCCAAAUAUUGACUAAUUCUCCAUUACCAAUUCGCCAUCCCAUCCCUUCCUCGAGAAAAUGUCUGGCUCCCCAAAUACUGUGCCAGCUAUACGAAGGGUAAGAGUCUAUCGUUGCACUCAUAAAAUCCCCUUUCGGGAAGUACUUAGCUUUCAUUACACGCGCAAACAAACAAUCGGGUUGCUUAAUAAGUUUUCACCCUUGCUUCAUUAACAGGACCAUAUUGAAUUUUGACAGAUCUUUAAACCCUAACCCUCCCUUCGCUUUGGGGAUGCUCAAUUCACUCUAUUUGCACCAAUGAAUACCUUUAUUUGUUUUUGAAUUACGCCACCAAAAUUUACUCAUUAAAUUCUCGAGUUCUUGACAAAAUAAGAUCGAUAACUUAAAACAUUACAAUGCGUAGACCGGUAUUGCUUGUAAAAUAGAUUUUAAAAAU